Molecule: long non-coding RNA, 563 nt
Filed under: Homo sapiens (human)
Lineage: Eukaryota; Metazoa; Chordata; Mammalia; Primates; Hominidae
Description: HSALNT0340144
Source: RNAcentral
GUGUGGCAUCUUCUAUCUUCUGGCUGCAGAGGCUCUCCCUGCUGUGUGCUCAACAACCUUUGAACCCUAAGUGCUGUCCAUGCAGAUGAGGCAAAGGGAAUUUCCCAGGUUCUGGGAUUAGGAUGUGGACCUCUUCAGGAACCAUUCUUCUGCCUAUCACAAUGGAUGCCCAGAGGCCUAAGAGAUUGUUUUCGAGCAGAGGAGAGAUGACAGAACCCAGACCAGCCCAGAGAAGAAGGACAAGCAGAAGGGAUGGGCAAGGAAAGACAAACAACAUGGCCUGAUUCAGAGACACUGGCUGAGCGAGCAGGAUAAGAAAAUAACAACAGGGAACAGAUGAGGACCCCUGGUCCAGCAUGGUCUGAGUACAUAGGAAACCUCAAUGAAUGCUAAAUAGUUGGGUAUCAAGAAGACCUGGCAGCUUCCACUUUUGCACUCUUGGAGGAGCCAGCUGCCAUGUAAAAAGUGUCACUUCCCUGAAACCACUAUGCUGUGAGGAAGCCUGAGCUAACCCACUUGGAGAGACCACAUAGAGAGAGUUGUCCCUGGCUAGUCCAGCCAUC